UGAAGGCAUGUAAAACUCU
Molecule: transfer RNA, 19 nt
Filed under: Mochlus sundevallii (Peters' eyelid skink)
Lineage: Eukaryota; Metazoa; Chordata; Lepidosauria; Squamata; Scincidae
Description: Mochlus sundevalli partial tRNA-Ala
Source: RNAcentral